GAAAUGCGAAAAGUAAUGUGAAUUGCAGAAUUCAGUGAAUCAUCGAAUCUUUGAACGCACAUUGCGCCCGCCAGUAUUCUGGCGGGCAUGCCUGUCUGAGCGUCAUUUCAACCCUCAUGCCCCUAGGGCGUGGUGUUGGGGAUCGGCCAGCGCCCGCGAGGGACGGCCGGCCCCUAAAUCUAGUGGCGGACCCGUCGUGGCCUCCCCUGCGAAGUAGUGAUAUUCCGCAUAGGAGAGCGACGAGCCCCUGCCGUUAAACCCCCAACUUUCUAAGGUUGACCUCAGAUCAGGUAGGAAUACCCGCUGAACUUAAGC
This 315-nucleotide unclassified non-coding RNA is filed under the name plant metagenome. RNAcentral's name for it is "partial contains 5.8S ribosomal RNA, internal transcribed spacer 2, and large subunit ribosomal RNA". The stretch from base 1 to 105 matches the Rfam family "5.8S ribosomal RNA", at positions 50 to 154 of the family's 154-position model. The record is from RNAcentral.